UUAACAUUAUAUUCACUUUAGUGAAUGAGCUAACAGAUAUGAGGUGUAUGUUUAAAAUUUCUAGAUGAAAACAUCCAGCUCUAAAACCAUUGCUAUUCGAGGUUGCCGCUAAUUUUCAAUUAGGACAGGCUGACCCAUGAAAUAGUGAUGACCUGAAGUCUGGGACAUAU
Molecule: non-coding RNA, 170 nt
Filed under: Debaryomyces hansenii
Lineage: Eukaryota; Fungi; Ascomycota; Pichiomycetes; Serinales; Debaryomycetaceae
Description: Small nucleolar RNA snR42
Rfam family: Small nucleolar RNA snR42
Source: Rfam by way of RNAcentral